RNAcentral lists this ribosomal RNA (465 nucleotides) under uncultured bacterium. RNAcentral's name for it is "partial 16S ribosomal RNA". It matches the Rfam family "Bacterial small subunit ribosomal RNA", at positions 338 to 795 of the family's 1533-position model. The record is from RNAcentral.
CCUACGGGCGGCAGCAGUGGGGAAUAUUGCGCAAUGGGCGAAAGCCUGACGCAGCGACGCCGCGUGAGGGAUGAAGGUCUUCGGAUCGUAAACCUCUGUUAGCAGGGAAGAACGGUCACUGUGCUAAUCAGCAGUGAAUUGACGGUAACUGCAAAGGAAGCACCGGCUAACUACGUGCCAGCAGCCGCGGUAAUACGGAGGGUGCGAGCGUUAAUCGGAAUUACUGGGCGUAAAGCGCGCGUAGGCGGUAUGGCAAGUCAAGGGUGAAAUCCCCGCGCUCAACGUGGGAACUGCCUUUGAAACUGGCAGACUAGAGUGUGUGAGAGGGUAGUGGAAUUCCAGGUGUAGGAGUGAAAUGCGUAGAUAUCUGGAGGAACAUCAGUGGCGAAGGCGACUAUCUGGCACAUAACUGACGCUGAGGAGCGAAAGCGUGGGGAGCAAACAGGAUUAGAUACCCUUGUAGUC